UCUAUUUAUUUAAAAAAUACUGAAUAUUCUUUCAAAAGUAUAAAUCUGAAAGACUUAUAUCUAGAGGACACAUUUUAUAAAUACAUUUGUAUGCACCGAAAACAUUUUUUUUCCUUUCUUUCUUUAAAAUUUUCAAAUGAAAUAAACGAAAAUGAAAGACUUAUAUCUAGAGUACACAUUUUAUAAAUACAUUUGUAUGCACCGAAAUCAUUUUUUUCCUUUCUUUCUUUUAAGUUUUCAAAUGAAAUAAACGAUAAAUGAUACAAGUUUUUAAACAAAUCUGCCUCCAAAUAUCAGACAUUUUCUUCUGUAGCGGAGGAACAUCAGUUGUCGGUCAUAUGGCACCAAGUCUGCUGUUUCGCGUUGUUCACAUCGGCGUCCCAUAGUUCCGUAAUAAUUCUCUGUUGUUUCUGAAUUCUAUAUGCAUACAUCUCGUUGCGGAGUAGUAUAGCAGUCUGUGACAUCCUGAAUUGCUAAUCAUUAGAAUUGUCUAAAAUACUUCCAGUUAUAUAGUUUCAAUUUGUUGAAUCUUUGCAGUUUUCAGCUUGGGCAAAAUAAAGUAUUUAUAUCAGCUGGUUCUUCAUAAUCAAUUUAUUUGCAAACUGUGUCGGGUAUUUUCAAUAAGAAUUGCAUGGGUAAUUAAAGGUAUAAUACACUGACGAGAAUCUGGCACCGUGUAAAUAUAUCUGUUGCUAAAAUGUUUCUUAUUUGUCUUGUUUCUUUGUUGUUUUCUACACAGAAUUUCAGAUUAUUACUUUUUCCAUUUUAACAUUGUUCAUAAAUUCUGUCUUAUCAAAGUUUCUUUAAUUGUAGAUGGAGAGAAAGAUUGAUAUAUCAUUAUAGCUCGGGGUUAUUUUUCGUUGAUUGUUGUAUUAUUCAUGAUUUUAUCUUUAUCACUUUGACGUUCCACCAGGAAGUUGCUGAUAUAGUUGACUGAUAAUAAGUCCUUAAGGGCUCGUUCUGUAAGGGCGUCUUUCAUUGGUCAAUAUUGUGUGUUAAUCCGUGAAUUUGUCAGUCCCUUUUUGCAUUCCUGGCAGAAACUGUUAUCUAACUGGCCAUUAUACUUUUUGCUUGUACUGUGUGCAGACGUGUUUUAGAAGUUUUGUUUGAAAUUUAAUUAAAAUGCCACCGUAAUACGAGCAUUCAGAUAUAAUAAAAGGAUAUAACAAUGGACAAGAAGAAUGAUUACACGUAUUCAAGUCAUUAUAAGACUCGUUUGACAAGGACUGUGUAUCCAACUCCUCCGUCUCUAUGGACUUAUCUGAAUGCGAAUCACCUGAUUCCAUGCGAUAAUCAUUAUCAAGUAUCAGAAACAUCAGAUUCAUCAUUACUGCUUGAGCUAGAAUCAUCUGGAGGUAUUACAUAAUUAACCCUCUGUCUUGGAUAACCUUUGACAACUUUGCGUUCGGGCCAUUCAGCAAUGUCAGCAAGCCUUAUCUGAUCUGACUGUACUUGAACAACAGAGUUGUCAAGCUGGUUCUUAAUAAGUAGGCAUUUACCUAGAGCAUUUUAUUUUCAAGGGAAAUAAUUGUGGUCUGACAGUAUUAUUUUGAAAAUCACAGUUGAGAUUUUUUUAUGUAUGCACCGGUACAGUUUUGUGGGGAAGCGAAAGUUGUCAUGGAAUUUUGUCUUCUUCUAAAAACAAGUGUCUGAUACAUGUAGUUGCAGUCUGUCUUUGGAAGCUGUAGAAAUAACAAGAAAGAGGCUGACAUAGUGUUUUGGUAGGGAAAAGUUUGAGUAGUACAUGUACAGUUGUUUGACCUGUCUUACCCUGUGGCAGUCCAAGAAGAUGUUACCAUUAUGAAAAAUGCAGGAGAACUUGAAGACAAUGGUUAGUGCAGAAGGGACAUAAAAGUUAUGACAAAAGUAACAGAUAUAAAUAAGACGUGCUACAAGUGUGUUGUCAUGUGAAAUGGAAUUUACCCCAACUGUGCUGCAAGAUGUAUAUUCAAGUGCAAGACAGCCAUGCACCAGCUGUAAACUGAGAUGGACCCAUAUAAUAAAUAUGUUGACUUUUCUAUGUAUUAUCAUCUGUACAGAAUGUGUUCAUGACAAGACUGUAUACAUAUAUUGUUAAAUCAUUUUUUAUUUCCAUUAUUGCAUGCAUGUAAGAAGCAAGCAUUUAGCAAUUGCAUUCAUAGAAGUGCUAAAAUGUGAUCAAUCUAAUUUAAAGAAACACAUUUAAUUGGACUUUUUAAGUUUCAUAGUAUUUGUGGUGGAGACUGACCCAGUCAUUCAGCAACUUAUACUGUCUGUGUGUCAUUUCUUGUAUGUUAUAGUUUUCUUAAUAAUACAUUAAAUGUCAAAGUUAUGCUAAGAUGAACUCAUUCAUCACUUGUAGAUUAAUGUUAAAGCAGUUCAACAUUUUACCAUAAGUUAACUAAUAUUCUAUUUAACCAGAGUUGUCACAUAUUUUCAUAUAAAUAUUUGUACAAUACAGUCUAAUCUAAUCUACAUAUGAUGUUCCACAAUUUUUUAGUUAUAUUUUAUGUUGAUAUUUUAUGUUGUUUUCAUGUCUCAACAUAUAAUUACUAACAUCAAAGAAACCUAAGUAUUUUACAAUUUGGUUGGUAUAAAUGGUUAUUUUAUUUUUUUUUCCAUCCAGGAGAAUAAAGAAAUAUACAUUUCAAACUAUCUCAUCAUUCCAAAUAAGUACACUACAUAAUCAAGAUAAAAGAAAUAAGAACAAAAUAUGUUGGUGGAAUUUUAUUUUCAAAAAUUUGAUAUACAGUCUUUGUAGUAUUUACUUCUUUAGAUAUGUUGGGCUGAAAUGGGAAUAACAAGAUACUUUAAAUUUUUGUAGUCAUAAGUUAAUAUGGGAAUUAUUAACUUAACUUAAAAAGAUUUUAUCUCACUGUUAUGCCAUCUGAGCUUUAAUAUUUUUCAACAUUGUCAUUGGCAACAAGGCUCAAAAUUAUUUGUUGUGUAUAACUUGCAUUCAUGUGUAAUAAAUGCUUUUAUGGUAUUCUUUAAUAUAAUUUAUGCUUUUCAUCUUACCAUGGAUUAAAAAAAAUAUAAAUUUAUUUGUCUGAAAAUUAAGAUAAAAAUACUGACUGAUUAAAUUGCAAUAUAAGAAAGCUUAUUUGAGAUAAAGGGAGGUAAUUCCAUAAAAAAUAUGUAGAAUGUAGAUGAUAAAUGUAAUGAAGGGAGGUAAUAAAAUAUUGUGAAGUUAUUAGUCUUCAUUUCUUUGAUGAGCUAAUUAAUUGUUUUACAUUUUGGUUUAUUAACUACAAGUAUGACCUAACAUGUGAACCUGUCCUGAAGGAAAAUAAAAUAGGUUGUUUGAUGUCCUUGUACUGUUAAGUUGUUCCUGUAUUUGUUUACAUUCCAUGUCUGAAUGAAAUGAAGAAACUUUAAUGAGGGUAUCCCGGGAAAAUACCUAAGUUUAUUUUUAUAUCAGCUAAUUUGAUGAGAUAGUCACUCAGGAGUUGUCUAUCCUAUUUCCAAAAAUGCUAUGGGGACUAAAUUUUUUGGAGUAAAUAUCUUUUUUAAAAAAUAACACACAGCAUUUUAAUAUUGUAUAUAUAUUAUCUUAUGCACUUAGCAAUAUAUAUUUGGAGUCAAAAUGUUAAAAAUUCAGGUUUUAAUGUUUUAGUUACAAUGUCUAUAAUAAGGUAUGUAACUGGACAUUUUUGUUCAAGAAUUCUGUAAUGUGAUUUCCAGCGGUCUUCAAGCUUGUUUUUUCUUUGAUAGUUCUUAUAACAGACAGGAUCAUUUAUUUCGAACUUAAUGUCUUUUGCCUUUUUUGUCUACUUGUGCCUUAUGUUUUCGUUUUGAGCGUUUUAAAUGUCUAUAAGCUGUAAGGAAACUUGAAUGAUGUUCUUGAAGAACUCUUCGCCAUUGUAUUUAGCUCUAGGCUUUAGCAAAUUAUCAAUAGGUAAAAUCGGGUCUCUGUUGUAAACUAAAUAGAAAGGUGUGAACUUUGAACUUGAAGAAACAUUGUGAUAUAUGCCUGCUAAAGACAUAUUAAGAUGAAGAUCCCAUUCACGUGUAUAACCUUGAACUUUUUUUGCUAAAAUAUCAUGCAGAACUCUGUGCAUUCGUUCUUGUUUUGCAUUACUUUCAGGGUGGUAUGCUGUACAUGAUACAUUGUCAAUAUUUAACUCUUUCAGAACUUCCCUAAAGGCAGAACUCGUACAUUCUGACCCUCGGUCAUGAAUAAUCUGGAGAGGACAUCCAUAUCUAGGAUAUAUCUCAUUCAAAAAUUCUGGUGGUCGUGAAAAGAAAUCAGCAAUAACAUUUGCCUUUCCGGGAAGAUACUCUAUCUUACAGUUGUAACCACUAAUAGACAAUGCCCAUAACUGAAUUUUCUUGUUUUGCAUUGGACUUUUUAAUAAAUGAUGGAGCGGAGAAUGGUCGCAUUUGAUUGUAAAUUCAGCAUUGUGUAAAAAGCAAUCUAGACGUUGCAAAGAAUAAAAGAUGGCGUACGCCUCCUUCUCAAUAGUGCUGUAUUUCUUUUGUGUUUCACUUUGUUUAUGAGACAGAAGAUAUAUAGGUUUUUCUUUAUUUUCAUCUGAUUCUAGUGAAUUACACGCUUGAGUUACGCACGCUGCCCCAUGACUAUCGCUGGCAUCGGUGUACAAUGUAAACGGCUUGUUUGGAUCUGGGUAGGAUAAGAAGGGAAUAGCUGUUAAUUGUUCUUAAAUUUUCUAAAAACUUUUCUGACAUUUUUCUGUCCAAAUAAAUGGAGACCUUUUCCUUGUAAGGUUUAUAAGAGGUUCUGCUAUUUCUGAAAAUGAGGGGAUGAACCGACGAUAAAAUGAGGAUGCCCCGAUUAUUUUUCGAACUUCACGCACAUUUUUUGGAACCGGAAGUGACAUAAUAGCUUUAACUUUAUCAGGAAUUGGUCUGACGCCAUCUUCAUCUAUGACAAAACCUAAGCAUUCGGUUUUAGGCUGCAUGAAUUGACACUUUUUCAACUUAAGUUUAAGUUUUUGCUCUCUUAACUUUUGAAAAAUAAUGUCUAAGUGGCGUUUAUGUUCUUCUAAUGUUUAACUAAAGACAAGGCAGUCGUCCAAGUACGUGACAGCAAAAUCUAGACCCUCUAAGACUUUAGACAUUAGUUCCUGUAACCCCAGGGGCAUUAACUAAUCCGAAGCAGAUAACGUUAAAUUCGAAUAGACCCCUGAAUGUAGUAAAUGCAGUUUUUCUUUAUCUUUUUCAUCAACUGGUAUUUGCCAAAAUCCUCAGAGACAGUCUAGGGUAGUAAAGUAUUUUGAUUCAUCUAAAAGAGCCAAUAUAUCAUCGAUAUGAGGUAGAGGCUAUGCUGUGGGUCUCACCAGGGCAUUGAUCCUCCUAAAGUCUAUACAAAAUCUGGUACUGUUGUCGUUUUUUUUUUUUUUUUUUUACCCAGCACACCAGGACUUGCAUAGGGACUUUGAGAAGGUCUUAUUACGUUAGCCUUAAGCAUUUCAUCUAUAGCAUCACUCAUAAUUUUUCUAUCAUUUAAUGGUACUCUGUAUGGUCGCUGCUUUAUCGGUUCAUGUUCUAUAGUAGGAAUUUUCAUUGUAAUCGUAUCUGUCUGUGACAACUCUGAGUCAUUAUUCGCAAAAACGUCCCUAUUUGUUUGAACUAAUUUUUCUACAUACUGAAAGUGUUCCUUAUGUGUUAUUAUUUUUUUUUUUGUAUUAAUACUUGAUUUUUCGCCCUUAUUGUGUGAUAGUUUAUUGACAUCAGAAACAGAAGCUAUACAUUUUUCAUCAAUUUGUUCAACAGUUGCGACAGCACAUCCGUUUCUUAAUUUAAUUGUUCUAUUUGUAGAAUUUACUAACAUAACAGGAAACCUACGAUGUUUUCAUAACUUUAUGAUUGAAUUAGCUACCAUUAAACCAGGUUCUGUACUAAGAUAACCAUCGUCAACACUUUUUAAUUCAUAUGUUUUAAAAUUCUUUAGUUUAGAGUCUUUCCUUAAUUGUCCUGAACAAAUAUGCACUGUUUGAUGUUUAAUUACAGUAUCUUUUUGCAAUCUAACUACUGAAGCAAUAUGUACAUCUUCUUGUAAUGUGACUUAGCUAUUUUUAACUCUCAUUGAUAAAAAAUCGAAAUAAAUUUUGCAUUUGUUCUGAAUGAGAAAGUCCCUUCCAAGUAUUGCUGUUCUAUUCAUAUUUGAGACCAUAUAAAAUUUAUGUUCUAUUUUUUCUCCACCUAUUCGAAAAAUAAGAUUGGUGUAUCCAUCUACAUGCAGUGAAUUACUAUUUACAGACGGUAAUGAAACUUUAUGAUUUUUAAAUAGUUUAGGCUUCCUAUUUAAUGAUUCAUAUGUCCUCCUUUUAAUUAAUGAGACUUCUGCUUCAGAGUCUACAAAUGCCCUUAUUUUCUGUUUCCCUAUUUUAAUUGUACAAGAGUUUGGAUUCCCCGCUAGCGCUAUAAAAUACGUUGAUAAAUCAUUAUUCCUACCACCGACUUCUUUAUGACAGGAAUAUUUUAGUUUAAAGGCAUAAAUAUGUUUCUAUUAGGUCUCAAUACACUUCUACAUUCUCUCAUAAAAUGUCCUAAUUUUCCACAAUUCCAGCAAUCAAUAUAUUUUUUCAAAUCAUAAUUGCUUUGAGAUUUAUUUUGGCUUGAAUUCUGCAUAUGUCUAGUGGCUUUCUUUCGUAAUAAUACUGCAUGAACAUAUUUCUGACGUGUCCUACAUUGCUUGAUAUUAUGACCUAGCCUACGGCAAUAGUGACAACGAAUUUCUGCCUGAGUGUGAUCUAAGU
Molecule: long non-coding RNA, 6701 nt
Organism: Mercenaria mercenaria
Lineage: Eukaryota; Metazoa; Mollusca; Bivalvia; Venerida; Veneridae
Exons: 8
Source: RefSeq, a predicted model, not a curated record